RNAcentral lists this non-coding RNA (183 nucleotides) under Clostridia bacterium. Its description in RNAcentral is "6S RNA". It matches the Rfam family "6S / SsrS RNA". From Rfam's summary of the family: E. coli 6S RNA was the first non coding RNA to be sequenced, but its function was unknown until recently. It consists of 184 nucleotides that fold into an extended hairpin structure with a large single-stranded internal bulge. The record is from RNAcentral. Lineage: Bacteria; Bacillati; Bacillota; Clostridia. RNAcentral also lists the same sequence under 1 other name.
UUGGUCCUGCAGUGUUGGCGUUGAGGCCGCUCUAGUUUUAAACCUACAUUGUUUCUAAGGGAGCUCGGGUUCAUUGGUGGCUGUCAAGCCGUAUUAAAAAGCGGAAGACAAAAACUAAUGAUAGGGCACCCACCUGCGAGAGCGGGUUUAGAAACUUGCGGCAAGCGGCUCUGCGGGAUAUCU